GUAACACUAACUGGAGGACCGAACCGACUAAUGUUGAAAAAUUAGCGGAUGACCUGUGGCUGGGGGUGAAAGGCCAAUCAAACCGGGAGAUAGCUGGUUCUCCCCGAAAGCUAUUUAGGUAGCGCCUCGUGAAUUCAUCUCCGGGGGUAGAGCACUGUUUCGGCUAGGGGGCCAUCCCGGCUUACCAACCCGAUGCAAACUGCGAAUACCGGAGAAUGUUAUCACGGGAGACACACGGCGGGUGCUAAUGUCCGUCGUGAAGAGGGAAACAACCCAGACCGCCAGCUAAGGUCCCAAAGUCAUGGUUAAGUGGGAAACGAUGUGGGAAGGCCCAGACAGCCAGGAUGUUGGCUUAGAAGCAGCCAUCAUUUAAAGAAAGCGUAAUAGCUCACUGGUCGAGUCGGCCUGCGCGGAAGAUGUAACGGGGCUAAACCAUGCACCGAAGCUGCGGCAGCGACACCGUGUGUUGUUGGGUAGGGGAGCGUUCUGUAAGCCUGUGAAGGUGUGCUGUGAGGCAUGCUGGAGGUAUCAGAAGUGCGAAUGCUGACAUAAGUAACGAUAAAGCGGGUGAAAAGCCCGCUCGCCGGAAGACCAAGGGUUCCUGUCCAACGUUAAUCGGGGCAGGGUGAGUCGACCCCUAAGGCGAGGCCGAAAGGCGUAGUCGAUGGGAAACGGGUUAAUAUUCCCGUACUUGGUGUUACUGCGAAGGGGGGACGGAGAAGGCUAUGUUGGCCGGGCGACGGUUGUCCCGGUUUAAGCGUGUAGGUAUGUGUUCCAGGUAAAUCCGGUUCACUUUAACACUGAGGCGUGACGACGAGGCACUACGGUGCUGAAGCAACAAAUGCCCUGCUUCCAGGAAAAGCCUCUAAGCAUCAGGUAACAUCAAAUCGUACCCCAAACCGACACAGGUGGUCAGGUAGAGAAUACCAAGGCGCUUGAGAGAACUCGGGUGAAGGAACUAGGCAAAAUGGUGCCGUAACUUCGGGAGAAGGCACGCUGACACGUAGGUGAAGUGAUUUACUCACGGAGCUGAAGUCAGCCGAAGAUACCAGCUGGCUGCAACUGUUUAUUAAAAACACAGCACUGUGCAAACACGAAAGUGGACGUAUACGGUGUGACGCCUGCCCGGUGCCGGAAGGUUAAUUGAUGGGGUCAGCGCAAGCGAAGCUCCUGAUCGAAGCCCCGGUAAACGGCGGCCGUAACUAUAACGGUCCUAAGGUAGCGAAAUUCCUUGUCGGGUAAGUUCCGACCUGCACGAAUGGCGUAAUGAUGGCCAGGCUGUCUCCACCCGAGACUCAGUGAAAUUGAACUCGCUGUGAAGAUGCAGUGUACCCGCGGCAAGACGGAAAGACCCCGUGAACCUUUACUAUAGCUUGACACUGAACAUUGAGCCUUGAUGUGUAGGAUAGGUGGGAGGCUUUGAAGUGUGGACGCCAGUCUGCAUGGAGCCGACCUUGAAAUACCACCCUUUAAUGUUUGAUGUUCUAACGUGGACCCGUGAUCCGGGUUGCGGACAGUGUCUGGUGGGUAGUUUGACUGGGGCGGUCUCCUCCUAAAGAGUAACGGAGGAGCACGAAGGUUGGCUAAUCCUGGUCGGACAUCAGGAGGUUAGUGCAAUGGCAUAAGCCAGCUUGACUGCGAGCGUGACGGCGCGAGCAGGUGCGAAAGCAGGUCAUAGUGAUCCGGUGGUUCUGAAUGGAAGGGCCAUCGCUCAACGGAUAAAAGGUACUCCGGGGAUAACAGGCUGAUACCGCCCAAGAGUUCAUAUCGACGGCGGUGUUUGGCACCUCGAUGUCGGCUCAUCACAUCCUGGGGCUGAAGUAGGUCCCAAGGGUAUGGCUGUUCGCCAUUUAAAGUGGUACGCGAGCUGGGUUUAGAACGUCGUGAGACAGUUCGGUCCCUAUCUGCCGUGGGCGCUGGAGAACUGAGGGGGGCUGCUCCUAGUACGAGAGGACCGGAGUGGACGCAUCACUGGUGUUCGGGUUGUCAUGCCAAUGGCACUGCCCGGUAGCUAAAUGCGGAAGAGAUAAGUGCUGAAAGCAUCUAAGCACGAAACUUGCCCCGAGAUGAGUUCUCCCUGAGACUUUAGGUCUCCUGAAGGAACGUUGAAGACGACGACGUUGAUAGGCCGGGUGUGUAAGCGCAGCGAUGCGUUGAGCUAACCGGUACUAAUGAACCGUGAGGCUUAACCUU
This 2193-nucleotide ribosomal RNA is filed under the name Salmonella enterica. RNAcentral's name for it is "partial 23S ribosomal RNA". It matches the Rfam family "Bacterial large subunit ribosomal RNA", at positions 756 to 2925 of the family's 2925-position model. Lineage: Bacteria; Pseudomonadati; Pseudomonadota; Gammaproteobacteria; Enterobacterales; Enterobacteriaceae. The record is from RNAcentral. RNAcentral also lists the same sequence under 2 other names.